GAUGAACGCUGGCGGCGUGCCUAAUACAUGCAAGUCGAGCGAACAGAUGAGGAGCUUGCUCCUCUGACGUUAGCGGCGGACGGGUGAGUUACACGUGGAUAACCUACCUAUAAGACUGGGAUAACUUCGGGAAACCGGAGCUAAUACCGGAUAAUAUAUUGAACCGCAUGGUUCAAUAGUGAAAGACGGUUUUGCUGUCACUUAUAGAUGGAUCCGCGCCGCAUUAGCUAGUUGGUAAGGUAACGGCUUACCAAGGCAACGAUGCGUAGCCGACCUGAGAGGGUGAUCGGCCACACUGGAACUGAGACACGGUCCAGACUCCUACGGGAGGCAGCAGUAGGGAAUCUUCCGCAAUGGGCGAAAGCCUGACGGAGCAACGCCGCGUGAGUGAUGAAGGUCUUCGGAUCGUAAAACUCUGUUAUUAGGGAAGAACAAAUGUGUAAGUAACUAUGCACGUCUUGACGGUACCUAAUCAGAAAGCCACGGCUAACUACGUG
This 497-nucleotide ribosomal RNA is filed under the name uncultured bacterium. RNAcentral describes it as "partial 16S ribosomal RNA". It matches the Rfam family "Bacterial small subunit ribosomal RNA", at positions 28 to 507 of the family's 1533-position model. The record is from RNAcentral.